GGAAGGAUCAUUAACACUUUUGCAUCCAAAAACAAAACCUUUGUUGCGUCGCGCGCUUCACGGCGCGUGGCGCAACAGAAACACCCGAACGUUGAAGUUGUUACCCGGGCUCCGGCCCGCGGUAAUGCUUUCUCUUCCACAUCAAAAACACCAUUCCAUGUUAUUUUCCAUUGUUUUCAAUUCCGCGACAAGGCCGAUUCGCUCGGCGGCGACGCGGGAACGAAAUGAAAAACAACAUAAGACGACUUUUAACAACGGAUAUCUUGGCUCUCGCAACGAUGACGAGCGCAGCGAAAUGCGAUACGUAAUGUGAAUUGCAGGAUUCAGUGAAUCAUCAAAAUCUUGAACGCAACUUGCGCUGGUGGUUCUGCCACCAGCAUGCCUGUUUGAGUGUCGGUUCAAACAUUCAACCAACCGUUUGGGGGAACGCGAUUCGUUGCGUUCACCUGCGCGCGCGGCUGGAACUGGGCCGUUUCGUGCUGAUCACAGCGCGAAUCGCUUGAAAUGCAUUCGGGCACCACUUUGGACGUUCAACGGAGGGUUAAAGGAAUUACGCAUGCCGUCUUAUCAUACCCGUUGGUUGCUUUCGAUCCCUGAUCUUUUUCGGAGCGUUCGAGCGAGCGAUCGACGGGGUUUCAAUCGGCACUGCGCGUUCUCUUUACCGCCUUCUGCUUGUUCCUUCGUCCGGGUGGCGUACUCCCGAGAGUACGGCGACCCUUUCCCUCGCGGGGAAGCCGGUCUGCCGGGGGCGCCCUUCUGGGGCGCCCUUUGUCUCUUUUCUGCUUUUUCGAAAGCGAAAGAAUCAUUUCGACCUCAAAUCAGGCAAGGGUACCCGCUGAACUUAAGCAUAUCAAUAAGCGGAGGAAAAGAAACUAACCAGGAUUCCCUCAGUAACGGCGAGUGAAGCGGGAACAGCUCAGAUUUAAAAUCUCCGGGGUUUCACCUCGGCGAAUUGUAGUUUUGUGAACGAGCAUCACGGGCGGAUGGCCGCGGUUUAAGUCUCCUGGAAAGGAGCGCCAGAGAGGGUGACAGCCCCGUGUACAACUGCGGUGAAAGAAAAGCGUCCGUCGACACGUGUUGCCGUUUCGAAGAGUCGGGCUGCUUGGGAGUGCAACCCUAAAUAGGUGGUAAAUCUCAUCUAAAGCUAAAUACGGGCGAGAGACCGAUAGCGAACAAGUACCGUGAGGGAAAGAUGCAAAGAACUUUGAAAAGAGAGUUAAAAGUGCUUGAAAUUGUUAAAAGGGAAGCGAUUGGAACCAGUCACUGCCCGGCGUUCAUUCAGGUCGACGGGCGUUGGCCGUCGCCGCACCCGAGGGGUCCAUGGUGGCCUCCGGCAGUGCGACGGCGGACGGCGUUUGGCGGCUGCACUUGGGCGUCGGGCGUGUCAGCGUGGAUUGGCGGCGCGUUAGAAUGGCGGCUGGAAGGUGCCGUGGCCGCAAGGUUGCGGGUUACAGCCGGCCGCUGGAUGGCGUGCCUGACCGAUCGAGGCGUGGCGAACCACGUAGGGGGGCUCUCCUUUCGAGGGGAGGGCCAACCGUUGUGCCGGUGUUGCUCGGUGGUGCGGACAGCCUAGCUGUGCGCGUUGCCGGGUGGCGCCGCCCGCGGCGGUGUGCACCUGCCCCCCAGAGACGCAUGACGAAAUGGUUCCAACCGACCCGUCUUGAAACACGGACCAAGGAGUCUAACAUGUGUGCGAGUGCUUGGGUGGCGAAAACCCGGGACGCGUAAUGAAAGUGAAGGGCCCUCACGGGUCCGAGGUGGGAAACCCGGCGAAUAGUUGGGAUGCACCAUCGACCGAUCUUGAUAAUUUUGGAUAGAUUUGAGUGUGAGCACACCUGUUGGGACCCGAAAGAAAGCGAACUAUGCUUGCAUAGGGUGAGGCCAGACGAAAGUCUGGUGGAGGCUCGUAGCGAUACUGACGUGCAAAUCGUUCGUCAAAUGUGAGUAUAGCGGCGAAAGACUAAUCGAGCUUUCUAGUAGCUGGUUUCCUC
RNAcentral lists this unclassified non-coding RNA (1991 nucleotides) under uncultured fungus. RNAcentral's name for it is "sequence contains 18S rRNA gene, ITS1, 5.8S rRNA gene, ITS2, 28S rRNA gene". The stretch from base 809 to 1991 matches the Rfam family "Eukaryotic large subunit ribosomal RNA", at positions 1 to 961 of the family's 3401-position model. The record is from RNAcentral. Lineage: Eukaryota; Fungi.